Molecule: ribosomal RNA, 468 nt
Filed under: uncultured bacterium
Lineage: Bacteria
Description: partial 16S ribosomal RNA
Rfam family: Bacterial small subunit ribosomal RNA
Source: RNAcentral
GACGAACGCUGGCGGCGUGCUUAACACAUGCAAGUCGAACGGAAAGGCCCUGCUUUUGUGGGGUGCUCGAGUGGCGAACGGGUGAGUAACACGUGAGUAACCUGCCCUUGACUUUGGGAUAACUUCAGGAAACUGGGGCUAAUACCGGAUAGGAGCUCCUGCUGCAUGGUGGGGGUUGGAAAGUUUCGGCGGUUGGGGAUGGACUCGCGGCUUAUCAGCUUGUUGGUGGGGUAGUGGCUUACCAAGGGUUUGACGGGUAGCCGGCCUGAGAGGGUGACCGGCCACAAUGGGACUGAGAGACGGCCCAGACUCCUACGGGAGGCAGCAGUGGGGAACAUUGCACAAUGGGCGGAAGCCUGAUGCAGAGACGCCGCGGGCGGGAUGACGGCUUGCGGGUUGUAAAACGCUGUCGCCUGUGACGAAGCGGGAGUGACGGUAAUGGGUAAAGAAGCACCGGCUAACUACGUG